AAGUUCUAAGGGAAGCAAUAUCUGCAAACAUUUUUGGAGUAAUUGAUGUAUUAGAUUACAUUAAGAAAAUAAACUAUUGUUAUGCAAAUGCCUGGAUUGCUUAUAGAGUAUUAUUGACUAUUACUGUCACAGUUACCUCUGGCGAAAAAAGUUUUUCAAAGUUGAAGUUAAUUAAAUCUUAUCUUCGAUCAUCCAUGUCACAAGAGCGAUUGAAUGGAUUAGCUAUGAUUUCUAUUGAAAAAAAAUAUGUUGGACAAACUUGAUGUUAGUAGUUUGAUUACUAAUUUUAUAUCUCAAAAUGUGAGAAGGUUAAAUCUUAUGCUAGCUUAAUUUUUCGGGUUGUGAAAGAAGUUUUAUUUUGUUAUUCUAUUUUUCAAAUUAUAUAAAGUUUUCUUUCUAAUAUAAAAGUGUUAAUUAUUUAAAUAUUUGCAUAUUGGUGACUUGUAAAAUAAAUUUUGUGUUGAGAAAUCCCAUAAUAAUUAAAUGCCUAGGGCCUCUAGAUUCUCAGAACCGGCCCUGGAAAACAACCUCGUAUUCACUUCCAUACAGACCUCAAGAAAGAAAGAAACAAUCAAACCCUUAAAAAUGAUCUCAAUUCCAAUCCCAUAAAAACCCUUUCGCUGUUCAAAGAAUUGUCGACGACAAAGCCUUCUAUAAUUGAUAAUGAUAGCUACUUUCUUUUAUAAUCCACCAAAGCAUGCAUUCGAAUAUCCUUGGUUAGAGAAGGAAUGCGAAUUCAUAAUGUUGUCAAUAAACUUAGGAGUCCAUUAAACUUCCUUAAUUAGUGGGAAAUCUUGAUGAUGCACGCCAUGUGUCUGAGGGAAUUACCAGCAAGAAUGUCAAUUGCUGGACAGAGUUGAUUGCUGCCUGUUUUGAUAAUCAGGACUCAAACAAAGCUAUUACUAUACAGAUGUUCAGAGAAAUGCAGACGGACAAUGUGUAUUCAUGCUUAUAUUCGCCUUUUCCAUGUGCGCACUGAGUGGAUUCGUGCUUAUAUUCGAUGAGAAAGAUAGUUGAAGACAGAUUUAAGCCUGAAAAAUGCACUGACAGCAUGAAAAGUAAGGACGUCAAUGAUUGUAAGGCAUGUAACGUUGUUCAAGUAGAACUCAUUUAAUCGUUCCUAAAUCUGACAAUGUAUCUUAAUGGCUAUGGCAAAACUCUAUUGAGGUGGGAAUUGAAUUCAUGAGUU
Molecule: long non-coding RNA, 1189 nt
Filed under: Olea europaea subsp. europaea
Lineage: Eukaryota; Viridiplantae; Streptophyta; Magnoliopsida; Lamiales; Oleaceae
Source: RNAcentral